GCCAACAGGGACAGCAGCGUCUUGGAGCGGGCUGGACGGGGAGCCCGGCCUGAUUCCCAGCCGUGUGAGAACCCUGGGGGGCCUCCUAUGGAGGUCCCGACUCUCUGACUCCGAGCCUGAUCCGCCCUGCCCGAGGGGAAUAAAACCCUUCUCUCUCUCAAUUUCCCUGCUUGUAAAAUGGGGGGGGGGCUUUAAAAACAGUUAUUCAUAAAUAUCACACAUUUCCCCCCUAAAGCCCCCUUUGUUCCUUGUUUCCCUGGCCCGAGGCACAGCGCCUGACAUAUAAAUGCUCAGUAAAGGUCGUCGAGGACGGUCAUUCCCCCUUUACAGGCAAGGACUCGGGGUCUUCGGCCACAGAGUCACAUCCCCAAGCCCCCACAGCUCAGCGAGAUCUGAAGCCUGGCUGUUCCCCUCCCCUCCCCCCCCCCCCCCGGGCUGGCGGUGAGGGUCACGUCUCUGGAACAGCGGGAUGACUUCCAGGAUCCCCCCCCCCAGGCCUGGCCCUGGGAUCGCCCCAUUUUGCCCCUUUCUCUCAUCCUCAGCUUACCAGAGAAUUUCUAACCGAGCGGCCAUCAGGAGGAGAGAAACGGGGUGACCUCCAAGGAGGCCCGCUCGGGGGCCCCCGUCCUCCUCCUGCAGCCCCAGAGAACACGCAGCUCCCACAGGAUCCCGGGCCUCAGAGCCCGAAGGGACCCAGCGGUCAUCCAGCCAGCUACGGCCAAAUGACCACACGGCUGGCAACCGAAGCGAAUCCUCACACCGCAAACCCAGCCCCCAUCCGCCUAAAUGACGGCUCAACGCUGCCCGGGGCCUUCGAGGCACCACCCGGUGCAGGGAGCCGGGGGCUGGGCCUGGAGUUGGGAAAACCUGAAUUCGAACCUAGCCUUACCAGCUGGGUGAUGGACAAGUCACUUGGCUACUGUCUGCCUCAGUUUCCUUAUCUGUAAAAGGGAUAAAAAUAGCACCCACCUCCCAGGAUUGUUGUAUCAAAUGAGAUACUUAUCACAGUGCUGGCAUACAGUAGGCUCUUAAUAAAUGUUUGUUUCACAUGAGAUAUUUAUAAAGCACUUAUAAUGCCGGCAUAUAGUAGGUGCUUAAUAAAUGUUUGUUUCAUGUGAGAUAUUUAUAAAGCACUUAUAAUGCCGGCAUAUAGUAGGUGCUUAAUAAAUGUUUGUUUCAUGUGAGAUAUUUAUAAAGCACUUAUAAUGCUGGCAUAUAGUAGGUGCUUAAUAAAUGUUUGUUUCAUGUGAGAUAUUUAUAAAGCACUUAUAAUGCCGGCAUAUAGUAGGUGCUUAAUAAAUGUUUGUUUCAUGUGAGAUAUUUAUAAAGCACUUAUAAUGCCGGCAUAUAGUAGGUGCUUAAUAAAUGUUUGUUUCAUGUGAGAUAUUUAUAAAGCACUUAUAAUGCUGGCAUAUAGUAGGUGCUUAAUAAAUGUUUCAUGUGAGAUAUUUAUAAAGCACUUAUAAUGCUGGCAUAUAGUAGGUGCUUAAUAAAUGUUUGUUUCAUGUGAGAUAUUUAUAAAGCACUUAUAAUGCUGGCAUAUAGUAGGUGCUUAAUAAAUGUUUCAAGUGAGAAAAUAUUUGUUGAGCACUUAUCAUAGUGCUGGCAAACAGUAGGUGCUUAAUGUUUGUUUCCUCCUCUCUGCAAUAUGACUCCUGCCCACUUUUAUCACAUCCCCCCAUCCCGUAAGAGGCCGUAGGGUGGACAGGAUGCUGAUUGUGGGGUCAGGUAGAGCCGCAUUCAAAUCCUGCUCCCGCUAACUUAUAGUUGUGUGACCCUAGGUAAGUCACUUGACCACUAAGACCCUGCUUUCCCCCUUGUAAAGUGAAGGCACUGGACUUGAGGGUCCCAGAGUUCUUUCUUGGUCUAAAUCUACGCUCCUCUGAACAAAUCCCUGGUUCCGUCACUCAGUAUCUCUGUGCCUCGAUUUCCUUAUCUGUAAAAGGAGGGUCCUGCCGUGGGGGUCCCUGUCUUCAGUGGCUCUUGCUCAGAACCACAGUGACCGCCCAGCAGGGAAACGCCAUCUCCAAGGAGGUGGCCGCCCCCUCCUCCCCCCGACCAUCACUGCAGGAGGUGGGGGGCUUGUCCCAGGUCUCGCCCAAACCCGCCUGCCCCACCACACACAGUGGGGGCUGAAGGAGGAACGGGUGGAUGGAAGGAGGGAGAGGGGCUAGCUGGAGUCCCUUCUGGCACCUGAUGGACACUCUCUCACUCGGUCCCCGACAACCCCGAGAGCUCCCACAAUAACCCAUCAUCCCCACAUGAGCAAACUGAGGCAGACGGAGGCCGAGUGACCCUCGGGGGAGCCAGGGUCCGAGGGCCGGCCUCAGGCUGCAUCAGGACCCCCGACCUCCUCCACGCGCUCAUCGCUGCCUGGAGCUCGGGAACGCAUUCUCUGGGCAUGGUUACCGGGCCGGUUCUUGGUGCUGGGGACCAGACCCAGAAUCCAGCGGGCGGGGGCCGGGCGAGGCUAAGCCGAGGGGAGAAGGAGGGCUCCGGGGGUCGUGGGCUGGGCGGAUUGGCCGGGAUCUCUGCCCCGGCCCCCCCAGCGCCGGCUGCCGGAGCGGAGGGGCGCCUCCUUUGUCCCGGGCUCCCCGCAGACCGAGGGCCGCAGAGGCGGGCGGGGAGCAGCCCUCCCCACCGCCCGUCCCCCCAGCCCGAGGUCUCCUU
Molecule: long non-coding RNA, 2670 nt
Organism: Antechinus flavipes (yellow-footed antechinus)
Lineage: Eukaryota; Metazoa; Chordata; Mammalia; Dasyuromorphia; Dasyuridae
Exons: 3
Source: RefSeq, a predicted model, not a curated record